RNAcentral lists this ribosomal RNA (400 nucleotides) under uncultured bacterium. Its description in RNAcentral is "bacterial SSU rRNA". It matches the Rfam family "Bacterial small subunit ribosomal RNA", at positions 975 to 1375 of the family's 1533-position model. The record is from RNAcentral.
CAAGGCUUGACAUCCUCUUGAAAGGCGCAGAGAUGCGUCCCCUCUUCGGAGCAAGGGAGACAGGUGGUGCAUGGUUGUCGUCAGCUCGUGUCGUGAGAUGUUGGGUUAAGUCCCGCAACGAGCGCAACCCCUAUUAUUAGUUGCCAGCACUUCGGGUGGGCACUCUAAUGAGACUGCCGGUGAUAAACCGGAGGAAGGUGGGGAUGACGUCAAAUCAUCAUGCCCCUUAUGUCUUGGGCUACACACGUGCUACAAUGGUCGGUACAACGGGAUGCGAAGGAGCGAUCCGGAGCGAAUCCCAAGAAGCCGAUCUCAGUUCGGAUUGUAGGCUGCAACUCGCCUGCAUGAAGUUGGAGUUGCUAGUAAUCGCGAAUCAGAACGUCGCGGUGAAUGCGUUCCC